AGAACGAACGCUGGCGGCAUGCCUAACACAUGCAAGUCGAACGCUUUGCCGGUUUCGGCCGGCAAGGAGUGGCGCACGGGUGAGUAGCGCGUGGGAACCUGCCCUGUUGUGGGGGAUAACCGAGGGAAACUUCGGCUAAUACCGCAUAAGCCGGUUGUCUUGAAAGAGAUGGCCGGGAAAGAUUUAUCGCGACAGGAGGGGCCCGCGUCGGAUUAGCUAGUUGGCGGGUAACGGCCCACCAAGGCUGUGAUCCGUAGCUGGUCUGAGAGGAUGAUCAGCCACACUGGGACUGAGACACGGCCCAGACUCCUACGGGAGGCAGCAGUGGGGAAUAUUGGACAAUGGGCGCAAGCCUGAUCCAGCAAUGCCGCGUGAGUGAUGAAGGCCUUAGGGUUGUAAAGCUCUUUCGCCCGCGACGAUGAUGACGGUAGCGGGAGAAGAGCCCGGCUAACUUCGUGCCAGCAGCCGC
Molecule: ribosomal RNA, 469 nt
Filed under: uncultured bacterium
Lineage: Bacteria
Description: SSU rRNA
Rfam family: Bacterial small subunit ribosomal RNA
Source: RNAcentral